GGGAAUGGAUGAAGAUAACCCUAUAGGACUCACUUGGAUUACCCCCGCAGACUCUUUAGUGCCGGACUACACCACCACAGUUGUCUCUGCCUUAAGUUCAGACCGUCAAAGGUCGAUCAUACUCCCACCAGGAUGCUAUGUCAGGUCCACAAGCGGAUGAGGCUACAACUAUAGGAUAUACCCUGCCGCCUCUUGCUCAGGCCAAUUCAAGAACUUGGAAGCUUUCAGGAUGAAGCUUGGAUGGUCGCCCUGGUCCAUGCUAUGAAGAGAAUGAAGACUUUGAGAUUUUAAUUCGUUGUGUGCCAACAUCAGGAUGUAUGAUGAUCA
This 327-nucleotide long non-coding RNA is filed under the name Setaria viridis. RNAcentral describes it as "long non-coding RNA (SVIR_LNC010290)". The record is from RNAcentral. Lineage: Eukaryota; Viridiplantae; Streptophyta; Magnoliopsida; Poales; Poaceae.